CCUACGGGUGGCAGCAGUGGGGAAUAUUGCACAAUGGGGGAAACCCUGAUGCAGCGACGCCGCGUGAGUGAAGAAGUAUUUCGGUAUGUAAAGCUCUAUCAGCAGGGAAGAAAAUAAUGGUACCUGACUAAGAAGCCACGGCUAACUACGUGCCAGCAGCCGCGGUAAUACGUCGGGGGCAAGGGUUAUCCGGAUGUACUGGGUGUAAAGGGUGCGUAGGUGGAGGGGCAAGUCAGGUGUGAAAGUCCGGGGCUCAACCCCCGUACUACAGUUGAAACUGUCAAGCUGGAGUGCAGGAGAGGUAAGCGGAAUUCCUAGUGUAGCGGUGAAAUGCGUAGAUAUUAGGAGGAACACCAGUGGCGAAGGCGGCUUACUGGACUGUAACUGACACUGAGGCACGAAAGCGUGGGGAGCAAACAGGAUUAGAUACCCGGGUAGUC
This 440-nucleotide ribosomal RNA is filed under the name uncultured bacterium. RNAcentral's name for it is "partial 16S ribosomal RNA". It matches the Rfam family "Bacterial small subunit ribosomal RNA", at positions 338 to 795 of the family's 1533-position model. The record is from RNAcentral.